RNAcentral lists this ribosomal RNA (1417 nucleotides) under uncultured bacterium. Its description in RNAcentral is "partial 16S ribosomal RNA". It matches the Rfam family "Bacterial small subunit ribosomal RNA". The record is from RNAcentral.
AGAGUUUGAUCCUGGCUCAGGAUGAAUGCUGGCGGCGAGCCUAAUACAUGCAAGUCGAGCGGUAGCAGGGCUUCACCGUUCUCUUGUCGCACUUGGCCUUUGAGCAAGUGGUCUGAUACGAGGGAACAGUGAAGCUGCUGACGAGCGGCGGACGGCUGAGUAACGCGUGGGAACAUACCCCGAAGUGAGGGAUAACUACUCGAAAGAGUGGCUAAUACCGCAUGUGAUCUUCGGAUUAAAGCAUUUAUGCGCUUUGGGAAUGGCCUGCGUACGAUUAGAUAGUUGGUGAGGUAAAGGCUCACCAAGUCGACGAUCGUUAGAUGGUUUGAGAGGAUGAUCAUCCAGACUGGGACUGAGACACGGCCCAGACUCCUACGGGAGGCAGCAGUAGGGAAUCUUUCACAAUGGGCGAAAGCCUGAUGGAGCAACGCCGCGUGCAGGAUGAAGGCCUUCGGGUUGUAAACUGCUUUUAUAAGCGAGAAAUAUGAUGGUAACUUAUGAAUAAGGAUCGGCUAACUACGUGCCAGCAGCCGCGGUCAUACGUAGGAUCCGAGCAUUAUCCGGAGUGACUGGGUGUAAAGAGUUGCGUAGGUGGCAUAGUAAGUAGCUAGUGAAAUCUGGUGGCUCAACCAUUCAGACUAUUAGCUAAACUGCUAAGCUCGAGACCGUUAGGGGGAACUGGAAUUUCUAGUGUAAGAGUGAAAUCCCGUAGAUAUUUGAAGGAAACACCGAUAGCGUAGGCAGGUUUACUGGGACCGGUUCUGACACUAAGGCACGGAAAGGUAAGGGAGCAAACGGGAUUAGAUACCCUGGUAGUCCACGCCCUAAACGAUGUCAACUAGUUGUUGGGGAUUAAAUUCCUCAGUAACGCAGCCAACGCGUGAAGUUGACCGCCUGGGAAGUACGGUCGCAAGACUAAAACUCAAAGGAAUUGACGGGGACCCGCACAAGCGGUGGAUGAUGUGGAUUAAUUCGAUGCAACGCGAAAAACCUUACCUACCCUUGACAUGUCAGAGAAGCUUUUGUAAUGAGAGUGUGACCGCAAGGGCGUCUGAACACAGGUGCUGCAUGGCUGUCGUCAGCUCGUGUCGUGAGAUGUUGGGUUAAGUCCCGCAACGAGCGCAACCCUUGUCACUAGUUGCUACGAAAGGGCACUCUAGUGAGACUGCCGGUGACAAACCGGAGGAAGGUGGGGAUGACGUCAAGUCCUCAUGGCCCUUAUGGGUAGGGCUUCACACGUCAUACAAUGGUCGGAACAGAGGGCAGCCAACCCGUGAGGGGGAGCAAAUCCCAGAAAACCGAUCGUAGUCCGGAUUGCAGUCUGCAACUCGACUGCAUGAAGUCGGAAUCGCUAGUAAUCGCAGAUCAGCAUGUUGCGGUGAAUACGAAGCCGGGUCUUGUACUCACCGCCCGUCAA